This is a long non-coding RNA of Pan troglodytes (chimpanzee), 2413 nucleotides long. RefSeq lists it as uncharacterized. Lineage: Eukaryota; Metazoa; Chordata; Mammalia; Primates; Hominidae. The transcript is spliced from 2 exons. The record is from RefSeq and is a predicted model, not a curated record.
ACAUUUUGCUUUUAGAUUGAUUGAAGAACUCCCUUUAGCAUUUUUUGUAUGACAGGUCUGGUGGUGGUGAAUUCUCUUCCCUUUUGCUUAUCUGGGAACGACUUUAUCUCUCCUUCACAGGUGAAGAAUACCUUUGCUGGACACUAUUCUUGAAUGGUAGUUUUUUUCUUUCAGUACUUCUUUGAAAAUGUUAUCCUACUCCCUCCUGGCCUGUAUGAUUUCCAUUGAGAAGUUUAUUGCCAGAUGAAUUGGAAAUCCUUUAUAUGUUAUUUGCUUUUCUCUUGCUGCCUUUAGGAUCCUCUUUGUCCUUCACCUUUGGGAGUUUAUUAUAUGCCUUGGAGCAGUCUUAUUUGAGUCAAAUCUUAUUUUGUGUUCUCUGACCUUCCAGUACCUGGAUAUUUAUAUUUUUCUCAAGUUUGGGAAGUUUUAUGUUAUUAUUUCUUUGAUUAAACUUUCUACCCCUUCCCCUUGCUCGACUUUCUCUUAAACACCAAUAAUUUUUAGAUGUGGUCUUUUGAGUUAAUUUUAUAGGCAAUCAUCAUUCCUUUUCAUUCUUUUUUUUUCUUUUUUCUCCUCUUACUAUAUGUUUUCAAAUAGCCUGUCUUCUCUGCUAUUGAGAGCCUCUAAUGAAUUUUUCAGUUCACCAAAUAUUUUUCUAAGUUCCAAAAUUUUUGUUUUUCUAAAUUAUUUAGAUUUCUUUGUUAAAUUGCUCUGAUAAAUUUCUGAAAUUUGUUUUCCGUGUUAUCUUGGCGAUCACUGAGUUUCCUUAAAACUGGAGUUUAGGGUCAGUCACUGGUUUCUUGUUUUGUCCAUUUGGGGAGACCUUGGUUUCCUGUUUGCUGUUGUUUCUUGUGGAUGUAUGUCUAUGUCUUUACAUUGAAGGAUUAAUUAUUUAUUCCAGUCUUCUCUGGCUUGUUUUGAUUUUUAUUGGCUACAAUUGCUUAAAGGUUCUUUAUUGCUAUGGACUGUCUUCUUUUCAGCUCUAGGUGGCGUCUUUACGCCAGGUUCACCUCAGCUCUAGUAAAUGAUCAGAGCAUGCCCUUUCUGAGUGGCAGAGGUCCCUAAGGGGAUAUCUUGGCAGUGUAGGAAGGUUGGCUAGAGGUUCGUCCCCAUGAGACCUGUGGAACAAACCUUCUGCAGUGUGGUGCUGCUGAACAGUCACUCUGAUUUGGUGUCUUGUUUGGCUGAUUUACAAAGCAGUUCCCAGGGCAGGGGAUGGUAGUCUUCCCUCCCCACUGGUUCUGACUGUUCUCAGGGAUAUUUCUCCUUUCAGGCACUCACAGUGCUUCCUGUGGCUCUAAGGUAGGGAUGGGUCUCUUGCCAUGGAACCCAGGAUGAAGUUGGUUAUCCACCUCAACCUCAUUUUUUCCAGUGAGAAACUGAGUUGGGGGAAAUUUUUUCUUGCGCUUGAUGCCAGUCAGAAUGAGGGGAGAGACGUCACAAAUGUGGAAGUGUGUCCAGAAUUGGUGGGUUCUUGGACUCGCUGACUUCAAGAACGAAGCCGCGGAUCCUCGCGGUGAGUGUUGCAGUUCUUAAAGAUGGUGUGUCCGGAGUUUGUUCCUUCAGAUGUUCAGAUGGGUCCGGAGUUUCUUCCUUCUGGUGGGUUCGUGGUCUUGCUGACAUCAGGAGUGAAGCUGCAUACCUUUGUGCUAGACACAAAAGUUCUCCAAGUCCCCACCCAUCCCAGAAGCCCAGCCAGCUUCACCUUUCACUGGCACUGGCUUGACUUUGCCGCACCUAUCCUGGACACUCCGGCAACCCAGAGGGAGCUCGUCCCAGACAACCAAGAGGAAAAGGGGAAGCCAGAAAGAGACAGAGACCCGCCAUCGUGGCCAACAACUCGGUGAAGAGGGAACGGCGAUCCAAGCAGGGGACCCAGCCUCUGAUCAAGCCCAGCAGGCACCAGCCUGCUGCCCGGAGUGCAGGGCCCUCCGAGCCCGUGCCCACCCAGAACCCAUGCCGGACUGCGAGCACCGCGCAGCCCCAGCUCCCUUCUGCACCUCUCCCUCCACACCUCCCUGGAGCAGAGGGAGCCGGCUCCAGCCUCCGCCAGCCCCAGAAAGGGGACCCCACAGCGCAGCGGUGGGCUGAAGGGCUCCUCAAGCACGGCCAGAGCGGACGCCGAGGCCGAGGAGGCCCCGAGAGCUAGCAAGGGCUGCUAGCACAUUGUCACCUCUCAGAAGUCCAAUUCUCUUACCAUCUGCUUAGAGUUUUUCACUUCUUUGUGGCCCUGGGAACUCUUUUUCAUAUAUGAGUUCUGGAAUAUUUCUGGUGAUAAUCUUGACAUUGUACAUUUGGUUUUGGUUUAUUGUGGAGGGAGUGAAGUCAGCAUGCUUCUAUGCUGCCAUUUUGGAACUGGAAGUCCCCCUGACCCACAGAAACAGAGAUAAUAAAUGUGUAUUCCUUCAGGCUA